This 1300-nucleotide ribosomal RNA is filed under the name human gut metagenome. RNAcentral's name for it is "bacterial SSU rRNA". It matches the Rfam family "Bacterial small subunit ribosomal RNA", at positions 82 to 1399 of the family's 1533-position model. The record is from RNAcentral.
UGAACAAAGCUAUGCGGCGGACGGGUGAGUAACACGUGGGCUACCUGCCUCUUAUAGGGGAAUAGCCUCCCGAAAGGUAGAUUAAUACCGCAUAAGAUUGUAGCUUCGCAUGAAGUAGCAAUUAAAGGAGCAAUCCGCUAUGAGAUGGGCCCGCGGCGCAUUAGCUAGUUGGUGAGGUAACGGCUCACCAAGGCGACGAUGCGUAGCCGACCUGAGAGGGUGAUCGGCCACAUUGGGACUGAGACACGGCCCAAACUCCUACGGGAGGCAGCAGUGGGGAAUAUUGCACAAUGGGCGCAAGCCUGAUGCAGCAACGCCGCGUGAGUGAUGACGGCCUUCGGGUUGUAAAGCUCUGUCUUCAGGGACGAUAAUGACGGUACCUGAGGAGGAAGCCACGGCUAACUACGUGCCAGCAGCCGCGGUAAUACGUAGGUGGCGAGCGUUGUCCGGAUUUACUGGGCGUAAAGGGAGCGUAGGCGGACUUUUAAGUGAGAUGUGAAAUACCCGGGCUCAACUUGGGUGCUGCAUUUCAAACUGGAAGUCUAGAGUGCAGGAGAGGAGAAUGGAAUUCCUAGUGUAGCGGUGAAAUGCGUAGAUAUAUGGAAGAACACCAGUGGCGAAGGCGGCUGUCUGGUCUGUAACUGACGCUCAGUCCCGAAAGCGUGGGUAGCGAACAGGAUUAGAUACCCUGGUAGUCCAUGCCGUAAACGAUGAAUGCUAGGUGUUGGAGGGUUUCCGCCCUUCAGUGCCGCAGCUAACGCAUUAAGCAUUCCGCCUGGGGAGUACGACCGCAAGGUUGAAACUCAAAGGAAUUGACGGGGGCCCGCACAAGCGGUGGAGCAUGUGGUUUAAUUCGAAGCAACGCGAAGAACCUUACCAGGUCUUGACAUCCCUCUGACCACUCUAGAGAUAGAGUUUUCCUUCGGGACAGAGGUGACAGGUGGUGCAUGGUUGUCGUCAGCUCGUGCCGUGAGAUGUUGGGUUAAGUCCCGCAACGAGCGCAACCCUUAUUGUUAGUUGCCAUCAUUCAGUUGGGCACUCUAGCGAGACUGCCGGUAAUAAACCGGAGGAAGGUGGGGAUGACGUCAAAUCAUCAUGCCCCUUAUGACCUGGGCUACACACGUGCUACAAUGGUUGGUACAACGAGUCGCAAGUCGGUGACGGCAAGCAAAUCUCUUAAAGCCAAUCUCAGUUCGGAUUGUAGGCUGCAACUCGCCUACAUGAAGUCGGAAUCGCUAGUAAUCGCGGAUCAGCACGCCGCGGUGAAUACGUUCCCGGGCCUUGUACACACCGCCCGUCA